This 485-nucleotide ribosomal RNA is filed under the name uncultured bacterium. RNAcentral's name for it is "bacterial SSU rRNA". It matches the Rfam family "Bacterial small subunit ribosomal RNA", at positions 30 to 507 of the family's 1533-position model. The record is from RNAcentral.
UUGAACGCUGGCGGCAUGCCUUACACAUGCAAGUCGAACGGCAGCACGGGUGCUUGCACCUGGUGGCGAGUGGCGAACGGGUGAGUAAUAUAUCGGAACGUACCUUAUCGUGGGGGAUAACGCAGCGAAAGCUGCGCUAAUACCGCAUACGCCCUGAGGGGGAAAGCGGGGGACCGUAAGGCCUCGCGCGAUUAGAGCGGCCGAUAUCUGAUUAGCUUGUUGGUGGGGUAAAAAGCCCACCAAGGCGACGAUCAGUAGCUGGUCUGAGAGGACGAUCAGCCACACUGGGACUGAGACACGGCCCAGACUCCUACGGGAGGCAGCAGUGGGGAAUUUUGGACAAUGGGGGCAACCCUGAUCCAGCAAUGCCGCGUGAGUGAAGAAGGCCUUCGGGUUGUAAAGCUCUUUUGUCAGGGAAGAAACAGCAGCUCUAACACAGUCUGCGAAUGACGGUACCUGAAGAAUAAGCACCGGCUAACUACGUG